This is a long non-coding RNA of Papilio machaon (common yellow swallowtail), 853 nucleotides long. RefSeq lists it as uncharacterized. The transcript is spliced from 2 exons. NCBI's taxonomy places the organism in Eukaryota, Metazoa, Arthropoda, Insecta, Lepidoptera, Papilionidae. The record is from RefSeq and is a predicted model, not a curated record.
AUCUUUGAAGGAUAUAGGCACUGUAAGAUUUAACAUUUUCACAUAUAACUUCGACUCAUUUAGAUUUUAAGGGUGAGGCAAUAUUAAGACUUGUAUGCAAAACAAAGUAAUUAGGCUUUUUAAGGUUUAUAGGGCGAAAGAAUUUUUAUAUAAGUGUUAUUACGCAUUGAACGAAAGACGCGCAUUAAACUGUAUCAUUUAUGCAAAGAAAUUUUACUGAGGUUAAUAGGGCGAAAGAAUCUUUAGAUACGUUAUAGUAAAUAAGCUGUGAAGGAUAUAGGCACUGUAACAUUUAAUAUUUUCAUAAAGAACUACAGUUAAUUUAGAUUUUUAGGGCCAAAACAAUGUUUAGACUAGUGUGUAACACAAAGUUAUUCGGCUUUUUAAGGUUUAUUGGGCGAAAGAAUUAUUAGAUAAGUGUUAUUACGCACUAAACGAAAAACGCGCAUUUAAAUGUAUCAUUUAUGCAAAGAAAUUUUACUGAGGUUUAUAGGGAGAGAGGAUUUUUAGAUACUUUAUAGUAAAUAAGCUCUGAAGGAUAUAGGCACUGAAACAUUUAAUAUUUUCACACAGAACUUCUGCUCCUUUAGAAUUUUAGGGCGAAACAAUAUUUAGACUAGUGUGUUGUACAAAGUUAUUCGGCUUUUAAUAGGGCGAAAGAAUUUUUAGAUACGUGACAGUAAAUAAGCUGUGAAGGAUAUAGGCACUGUAAGAUUUAAUAUUUUCACAAAGAAUUUCGGCUCGUUUAGUUUUUAGGGCGAAACAAUAUUUAGAUAGUGUUUCAUAAAAACAAAUUAAGCUUGAUUAGGUUGAAAAGGCGAAAGAAUUUCUAGAUAAAUGACAGUUAAAAUCU